This 218-nucleotide long non-coding RNA is filed under the name Lathyrus oleraceus (garden pea). RNAcentral's name for it is "Pisum sativum (pea) long non-coding RNA (PSAT_LNC040770)". Lineage: Eukaryota; Viridiplantae; Streptophyta; Magnoliopsida; Fabales; Fabaceae. The record is from RNAcentral.
ACAAUUCACAAUGCUCAUGAAACAACAACAUGAUGUAUAAAAAUGGUUAGGCCAUGAACGAACACAGUUAACCAUUAAUAAUCCAAUAUGCAGAAUGAUCAUGAACUCAAUGAAGUAUAAAAAAUUGCAUCCUCUAAACUCAGCACAAGCAAAGUGUAUUUGGAUAACUAUCGAUAACCGACAAAUGCAUAUCAAACAUAAGUAUAAAAUGGAAACAC